UCUAUUCAGAGGAAUUUGUGCCAUAAUCGAUAGUCCUCGUUUUAAUCGUUCUUAUUUUGGUAUUCAGUAUGUAUACCGCCGUUAUAAGCUUAUUUUAUUAGGAUUAUAAUUUGCUAAUUUUUUUAUUAUAAAUUAUUUCAGGUCAAGGUGCAGCUUAUAUUUAAGAGGUUAUGAAUUACAAUAUUAUUUGAGUAUACGAAAUAAUUAUUAUGAAUAUUUUUUAUGAAGGUGGAUUUGUUAGUAAUUUUAUUUAUAUUGGUUUUUUGAAAUUAGCUCUAAAAUGAGUACACAUCGCCCGA
This 299-nucleotide ribosomal RNA is filed under the name Graeffea crouanii. RNAcentral describes it as "partial small subunit ribosomal RNA". The record is from RNAcentral. Lineage: Eukaryota; Metazoa; Arthropoda; Insecta; Phasmatodea; Phasmatidae.